This 497-nucleotide ribosomal RNA is filed under the name uncultured bacterium. RNAcentral describes it as "partial 16S ribosomal RNA". It matches the Rfam family "Bacterial small subunit ribosomal RNA", at positions 28 to 507 of the family's 1533-position model. The record is from RNAcentral.
GAUGAACGCUGGCGGCGUGCCUAAUACAUGCAAGUCGAGCGAACGGACGAGGAGCUUGCUUCUCUGAUGUUAGCGGCGGACGGGUGAGUAACACGUGGAUAACCUACCUAUAAGACUGGGAUAACUUCGGGAAACCGGAGCUAAUACCGGAUAAUAUUUUGAACCGCAUGGUUCAAAAGUGAAAGACGGUCUUGCUGUCACUUAUAGAUGGAUCCGCGCUGCAUUAGCUAGUUGGUAAGGUAACGGCUUACCAAGGCAACGAUGCAUAGCCGACCUGAGAGGGUGAUCGGCCACACUGGAACUGAGACACGGUCCAGACUCCUACGGGAGGCAGCAGUAGGGAAUCUUCCGCAAUGGGCGAAAGCCUGACGGAGCAACGCCGCGUGAGUGAUGAAGGUCUUCGUAUCGUAAAACUCUGUUAUUAGGGAAGAACAUAUGUGUAAGUAACUGUGCACAUCUUGACGGUACCUAAUCAGAAAGCCACGGCUAACUACGUG